UUUGGCAAAAGUGAUGCUGUGGCAGUGUCUUGCCCAGACUUAUGAUAGUGGGGGCUUCCAUUCCUGUCUUUUGGAACACUUGCCCCUGGAAGUCUGAGCCUUCAUGUAAGAAGUUUGGCUACUCUGCUGGAGAGGCCUCCUGGAGAGUACCCAAGAAUCUACCAAAAGGAGGUGGAGGUUGGCUCACGCAUCAGGCAUUUCCUUAGGAAAUCCCACCAUUGUCUGAUUGGGAAGGAAUGGCUUUCCCGACUGGUGCGACUAGGAAGAUCAUCCUCUGAAGGAAAAAACCCAGACGUUCUGUCUCCAAUAGAUUCCCAGUAUUCCCACCGUCCCAGCCUGUGGAGCUCCAUGCUUGUACCUUGUGCACUUUCUGAAUAACAAAGGUGCACUGGUUUUCGGCAGCACAGUGAGGACAGAAAGGAUUAAGCGAGGUUAGCACUGAGCAUCCACCAUGGAGUCGGCCAGAAGAAGCCUGCGUGACCGGGAACUGCUGAAGCCCUCUUAGUUAUAUCAUAGCCAGUUGAAUUACUGCUGUGUGUGCAUCUUAUUUCUCUAACUGGCUUGUUAUCACCUUUAGGAUAGGGAGCUAUCUUUUGUGUCUCUGCUCAGGUCUAUGAUUUUUUUAUUGUGGAAAGAAUUUUAAAACCGUUAUCUGAUAGUCUAGUAUCACCCCUUAUGGCUCUGUAUAAAUAGCUUACCUUUUAAGCCUGUUUCUUCAUCUGUAAAAUAAAAACAAUAACACUUCCUGGGCUACUAACAAAAUUAAGAGAUACAGCAUUUACAAACAGGCUUCAAAAUUAUAUAUUUGUAUAAAAUUUAAAGCAUUAUUGCUAUAGUUAAUAAUUAAUAAUAGUAGAAAAUAAGUAUUUAAAGAAUGUUGAAUAAAAGGAAAGAAUCCAAUGUUCAAGAUUGUAUUGCUGCUUUAGGGGUCCAAUGAAUGACACACAAGGAAAAUAUCAGGGCCUAGGUUUUUAGCUAGCUGAGAUGCACAUAACAUAGUAGCUACAUGCAAAUAAUCCAUAAUUGGAGUAAUCCCAAAGAAUGCUAGUCAUUAAUUUGAAGUCAUAAGGCAAUGUGCACAGAAGUCAAGUCUUUAUAUAGAGUACAUAGUGAGCAAUUCUCUACAGAUCUUCUUCCUCUAACUCCAGUGUAAUGAUUGAUGCCCUUUCUCGGUAUGAUCCUCUACUGUUAUAAGUAUGUGUUAAGAAAUUUUUCAAAAAUGAUAAAUUC
This 1230-nucleotide long non-coding RNA is filed under the name Equus caballus (horse). RNAcentral describes it as "lncRNA (ENSECAG00000045371.1)". Lineage: Eukaryota; Metazoa; Chordata; Mammalia; Perissodactyla; Equidae. The record is from RNAcentral.